Molecule: long non-coding RNA, 583 nt
Organism: Phyllopteryx taeniolatus (common seadragon)
Lineage: Eukaryota; Metazoa; Chordata; Actinopteri; Syngnathiformes; Syngnathidae
Exons: 5
Source: RefSeq, a predicted model, not a curated record
GCUACGUCUAGUCUACUUUGCCGUUACAAUUGACGUGUAUCUCGUAACAUUUAUAAUUGUAUGUAAAUGGCAAAAGGAAAGUGCUGGAGAUGAACUCAGACACCUGAUUCCCAGAGCGACUCAUCUCCGACAGAAAACCCUAAGACUACAUUCACACUACAGCCUCUCUCUGUGGCAGCCAAUCAUAACGGAGGUGGGAAAAGGAAGCACGCUCAUGAAAGCGUCGCCUACUCGCCAGGAGCACGCCUUAAUCACCCCUCCCAAGCAACAGCGAUCGCAGCACUUUCAUGGCCGUAAUUAGACCAUCACAGCAAAGUUUCAAGGGUCUCCAGCUGGUCCAGGCACCAGUCAAGCUCCUCCAGAGUCUCAGUGGCCAGUUUCUGGUAGGCCUCCUCUGCGGGAACGAGACAGGACGGUAAGGGGUCAGUGAGGGCCCGCUUCAGGGGGCUAGUGGACGGCCCAGGCCCGGGGUCUCCCACCCCACACACGGCUAAGCUGGGAUACCCCGAGUAGACACAUGGGUGACUCUUCAUACUGGAUGGUCCAGCUGUUAGGGGUGUGUGUGUGUGUGCGUGCGUGGGGG